RNAcentral lists this ribosomal RNA (393 nucleotides) under uncultured Tintinnidium. Its description in RNAcentral is "partial small subunit ribosomal RNA". It matches the Rfam family "Eukaryotic small subunit ribosomal RNA", at positions 30 to 432 of the family's 1831-position model. Lineage: Eukaryota; Ciliophora; Spirotrichea; Tintinnida; Tintinnidae. The record is from RNAcentral.
GCUUGUCUCAAAGAUUAAGCCAUGCAUGUCUUAGUGUAAAUAACUCUUAUGAAACUGCGAAUGGCUCAUUAAAUCAGUUAUCAAAUACGUGAUGGUCGCCUACUACAUGGAUAACCGUAGUAAUUCUAGAGCUAAUACAUGCACAAAGGCCCACUCACGUGGGUUGUGAUUAUUAGAUAACAGACCAAUAUUCCUCGUGUCUAUUGUGGUGACUCAUAGUAACUGAUCGGAUCGCACGGGCUUGCCCGCGACAAACCAUUCAAGUUUCUGCCCCAUCAGCUUUCGAUGGUAGUGUAUUGGACUACCAUGGCUUUUACGGGUAACGGAGGAUUAGGGUUCGAUUCCGGAGAGGGAGCCUGAGAAACGGCUACCACAUCUAAGGAAGGCAGCAGG